This 210-nucleotide long non-coding RNA is filed under the name Medicago truncatula (barrel medic). RNAcentral's name for it is "lncRNA gene50017". Lineage: Eukaryota; Viridiplantae; Streptophyta; Magnoliopsida; Fabales; Fabaceae. The record is from RNAcentral.
AUGUCUUUUGUGUUCUAUAGAAAGUGGUUUCGUAAGAGAAGAGAAAAAGUGUGGUUGAUGAGGCAAUUUGGGUGUGUUAAUGUUAUGCUUCUUUUGUGCGAUGAUGGAAACGAUUGAGUUUGAUUUUUUGUGUUUGUUAGUUGUUGGGUUUGAUUCAUGAUUUUUUUUUGGGUUUAUGGUUCAUGAAUGUUAAUGAUGGUUAUGGUUAUA